This 253-nucleotide ribosomal RNA is filed under the name uncultured bacterium. RNAcentral's name for it is "partial 16S ribosomal RNA". It matches the Rfam family "Bacterial small subunit ribosomal RNA", at positions 524 to 776 of the family's 1533-position model. The record is from RNAcentral.
UACGUAGGGUGCGAGCGUUGUCCGGAAUUACUGGGCGUAAAGAGCUCGUAGGUGGUUUGUCGCGUUGUUCGUGAAAACCGGGGGCUUAACCCUCGGCGUGCGGGCGAUACGGGCAGACUUGAGUACUGCAGGGGAGACUGGAAUUCCUGGUGUAGCGGUGGAAUGCGCAGAUAUCAGGAGGAACACCGGUGGCGAAGGCGGCACUCUGGGCUGGUAUUGACGCUGAGGAGCGAAAGUGUGGGUAGCAAACAGG